CGGCCCCUGGACAAGACUGACGCUCAGGUGCGAAAGCGUGGGAGCAAACAGGAUUAGAUACCUGGUAGUCACGCUGUAAACGAUGUCGAUUUGGAGGUUGUUCCCUUGAGGAGUGGCUUCCGGAGCUAACGCGUUAAAUCGACCGCUGGGGAGUACGGCCGCAAGGUUAAAACUCAAAUGAAUUGACGGGGGCCCGCACAAGCGGUGGAGCAUGUGGUUUAAUUCGAUGCAACGCGAAGAACCUUACCUACUCUUGACAUCCAGAGAAUUUAGCAGAGAUGCUUUAGUGCCUUCGGGAACUCUGAGACAGGUGCUGCAUGGCUGUCGUCAGCUCGUGUUGUGAAAUGUUGGGUUAAGUCCCGCAACGAGCGCAACCCUUAUCCUUUGUUGCCAGCACAUUAUGGUGGGAACUCAAAGGAGACUGCCGGUGAUAAACCGGAGGAAGGUGGGGAUGACGUCAAGUCAUCAUGGCCCUUACGAGUAGGGCUACACACGUGCUACAAUGGCGUAUACAAAGAGAAGCGACCUCGCGAGAGCAAGCGGAACUCAUAAAGUACGUCGUAGUCCGGAUUGGAGUCUGCAACUCGACUCCAUGAAGUCGGAAUCGCUAGUAAUCGUAGAUCAGAAUGCUACGGUGAAUACGUUCCCGGGCCUUGUACACACCGCCCGUCACGCCAUGGGAGUGGGUUGCAAAAGAAGUAGGUAGCUUAACCUUCGGGAGGGCGCUUACCACUUUGUGAUUCAUGACUGGGGUGAAGUCGUAACAAGGUAACCA
This 775-nucleotide ribosomal RNA is filed under the name uncultured Providencia sp. Its description in RNAcentral is "bacterial SSU rRNA". It matches the Rfam family "Bacterial small subunit ribosomal RNA", at positions 723 to 1502 of the family's 1533-position model. Lineage: Bacteria; Pseudomonadati; Pseudomonadota; Gammaproteobacteria; Enterobacterales; Morganellaceae. The record is from RNAcentral.